UGCAGUCGUGCGCGCCCUUCGGGGUGAGCGGCGGACGGGUGAGUAACGCGUGGGAAUAUGCCCUUCUGUUGAGGAUAGCCCCGGGAAACUGGGAGUAAAACUCGAUACGCCCUCAGGGGGAAGGAAGGAUUAGCCCGCGUCUGAUUAGGUAGUUGGUGGGGUAAUGGCCUACCAAGCCUACGAUCAGUAGCUGGUUUUAGAGGAUGAUCAGCCACACUGGGACUGAGACACGGCCCAGACUCCUACGGGAGGCAGCAGUGAGGAAUCUUAGACAAUGGGCGCAAGCCUGAUCUAGCCAUGCCGCGUGAGUGAUGAAGGCCUUAGGGUCGUAAAGCUCUUUCGCCAGAGAUGAUAAUGACAGUAUCUGGUAAAGAAACCCCGGCUAACUCCGUGCCAGCAGCCGCGGUAAUACGGAGGGGGUUAGCGUUGUUCGGAAUUACUGGGCGUAAAGCGCGCGUAGGCGGACCAGAAAGUUGGGGGUGAAAUCCCGGGGCUCAACCCCGGAACUGCCUCCAAAACUCCUGGUCUUGAGUUCGAGAGAGGUGAGUGGAAUUCCGAGUGUAGAGGUGAAAUUCGUAGAUAUUCGGAGGAACACCAGUGGCGAAGGCGGCUCACUGGCUCGAUACUGACGCUGAGGUGCGAAAGUGUGGGGAGCAAACAGGAUUAGAUACCCUGGUAGUCCACACCGUAAACGAUGAAUGCCAGUCGUCGGGUUGCAUGCAAUUCGGUGACACACCU
This 738-nucleotide ribosomal RNA is filed under the name Sagittula salina. RNAcentral describes it as "16S ribosomal RNA". It matches the Rfam family "Bacterial small subunit ribosomal RNA", at positions 56 to 853 of the family's 1533-position model. Lineage: Bacteria; Pseudomonadati; Pseudomonadota; Alphaproteobacteria; Rhodobacterales; Roseobacteraceae. The record is from RNAcentral.